Molecule: long non-coding RNA, 3085 nt
Filed under: Homo sapiens (human)
Lineage: Eukaryota; Metazoa; Chordata; Mammalia; Primates; Hominidae
Description: long independently transcribed non-coding RNA 2934 (LINC02934)
Source: RNAcentral
UUUUUUUUUUUUUUAAAUCAGACAUUUGUCUAUUUUUAGAGAUUCAGAGGGCUUUCCCUGAUUAGGUCAAAGUAUCACAGGAAAAAAAAAUAAUAAAACACUGAAAGGAAUCCACCUAUCAAGAAAGCAUCUUGGCCAAAGAUAGGAGAGACGAGGGAAGGAGGUCCUGGAGGUCAUGAGAAGAGUGAGCAAUUAAUCAGAAGGUCAAAGGUCUCUCUGAGAACACCAUGGUGCUGUGCACAGAGAGUCACUUAUUAUUGAGAAAGGCAAUGAUUUAAAAUAAGCUUCCUCAUCUGGAAGGAUGAGAAUAAUAUCCACCUCAUAGAGUAUUAUCUCGGGGUAACAUGAGAUAAUUACGUUUAAUGCUCAUGAACUGGAAAACGCUUUGAAAAUACAACAUAGGAUUAAGAGAGGUUGUUCGAAACCCUGAAAACUGCACAGCCUCCUGAAAGAGUGGAAACUAGAUGCAUGGCCUGUUGUAGGGUAUUCUGUUAACUGAUUUGCAAGAGGCUUCUUGGUCUGCCUUCCUCUUUAUAACUUCACAGAAGGUACAAAGCACCAGUACAGCCCCCUCUAAGAGCAGGCAUCAGUUCUGACUGGCUCUGUUAUCUUAAAACAAAAACAAAAACAAAAACCUUUCUGGCUGGGUGUGGUGGCUCAUGCCUGUAAUCCCAGCACUUUGGGAGGCCAAGAUGGGCAGAUCACCUGAGGUUGGGAGUUCGAGACCAGCCUGACCAACAUGGAGAAGCCCCGUCUCUACUAAAAAUACAAAAUUAGCCGGGCGUGGUGGCCCAUGUUUGUAAUCCCAGCUAUUCAGCAGGCUGAGGCAGGAGAACUGCUUGAACCCGGGAGGCGGAGGUUGUGGUGAGCCGAGAUCGGGCCAUUGCAUUUCAGCCUGGCCAACAAGAGUGAAACUCCAUCUCAAAAAACAAACAACCAAACAAACAAAACUUUCUAAGAGCAAAUAAUGUAAAUAAUGUAUCUGUCACCCAUUGCACAGUGCCUAACCUUCCACCACCCUCUAAGGAGCAUCUCCUUAGGGCCCUUGAAGAUGGGAAGGAUUCUUCACAAGUGCAAAUGACUGGAAGGCAGCCAGUAUCUACAGUGUUGAGGUUUCUGUCCAGCUAAAAAAAAUCUAGAGGAAAAGCACUGAGUGUUGGAGGAAAUGGGUGGUGAAGAUUUCCCUUGAAUGGUUCUCACAUCAGAUCAGAGGGGUGUUGGGGAGGAAUGUUAAUUUUUUGCCUACAGACUAAAAAUAAUGGCAAUUAUUAGUGAAUUAAAAUAUUCUUAACCUUUAACAGAAAGGGAACCUCCCAGAAUGCAGAUGUUUUUUCACUCCACCAACAUUUAUUGAGCAUCUAGUAUGUGUUGAUCUCUAUGAUGGGAGCUGGGAAGACAUAGCUGUGAAGAAGGGCAAGCAUCUCUGUGGACCUAUUUCCUAGUAGGAUGACAAGAAGGCAGGCAUUGUCUCAAACCAGGGCAUGACUCUCCCACAAACUCUAAAGGAAGCUGGUCAGUGGUUCUCCUUUUAAUUUGCAUAAUCUGUAUGGUUUGAUUCUGACAUCUGAGGCAGGUAAGAUUUUUCAUUUUUUGCCUGUCAUGCCACUUGUUCUUUGUGUUUAUUAUUAUUUUUUAAUAAAAAAAUUGUUGCUGGGCAUGAUGGCUCACGCCUGUAAUCCCAGCAUUUUGGGAGGCCGACCACGGCAGGCGGACCACGUGAGGUCAGGAGUUCAAGACCAGCCUAGCCAACAUGGUGAAACACUGUCUUUACUAAAAAUACAAAAAGAAAAAAUUAGCCGGGCAUGGUGGCAGGUGCCUGUAAUCCCAGCUACUCAGGAGGCUGAGGCAGGAGAAUUGCUUGAACCUGGGAGAUGGAGGUUGCAGUGAGCUGAGAUCACGCCACUGUACUCCAGCCUGGGUGAAAGAGCAAGAUGUCGUCUCAAAAAAAAAAAUUGUUUACUUUCCAGUGUCAUUUUAACUUGUUACUAGUGAGCAUCUGGCCUGGGUGUUUUCCAUUAGCAUGAAAAUUCAGAAGGCUACAGAAGGAAAUACCUAUAAUUGAGCAGCGAGAGAGCCACUUCAUUCUGUGGCCAGGCAAUAUGUCUUGCAUUUCUCUAGUGUAAAUAAAAUGAUGAUUCAAAGAAUGGUCCCCAUUAAUGAGUAUCUGAUUUAGAAUAAAACAAAAUCCAUGCUGGGAAGUUGAUGAGCUUGAUUUUGCUGAAUUGCUUUGAGCUUGCAGCUUAUAUUUAUUGGUUCUUUCCUUUCGACAAUUGUCACCAGUUGUCUGCUGUUCUUUCGGGAGAGGGCUUGAAGGUUGAUUUUAGUUCCCUGUAACUGGAGGUGACAUGUGAAAGCUCAAAGCUAUUGAAAAGGGUGAGAGCUGAAUGUAGGCUCCAACAGGAAGACGGCAUUGAAGCCUGGUUGCUUGUUACUACUCAGAAUGCCAUCUACAAAAGGAAAUUAUGUAAAAAGCAAUAAAGAACCCCUUUUGUUCUUGCAGGAGUCAGUGUUUCAUAACUCUUUCUGUGAUAUCGUCUGUAUAAGUUGAACCUCUAAAGAACCUUAUCUAAGUUGCCACGACCUUACUCAUUACCCUCAAGAAAGAUGAACAAUUUAAAGGGGGAAAAAAGGAAGUGAAAAAAAUGGCGGAUACGAGGCAGAACUAACCUGCAGCUUCCACUCGAAGGGACAGAGCAGAGUGUGGAGACCCACAACUGGAACUUUUUCUCCAAGAACUACCACAGGAACAUACCAAGAAAGCCAAGAGAAUCCACAGAACCUUUGGAGGAAGUGGUUUGUCACUGCAGGCUCUGUGGGACAGCUGAGGAACUGUUUUCAUGGUGAUUUCAACUAAUAUGUGGAAGGGAAGGAGGGGAAGAGGAAAGACUCGGUGAUGGCUACAGCAGGCAAACCAUAUGCCACCGCAUGGGCCUGAGGACAAUCUCGGACGUCUUGCAAACAAUCACCCACACAAGUGUCCUGAUGAGUGGCGACCUUCUCAGCGAGGACUGACAACCACACGGGUUCCUACUUCAUGACCAGACCAGGGUCACCAUGGAGACAUUUCUCAUUGGAUCAGCUUAUU